AGGACGAACGCUGGCGGCGUGCUUAACACAUGCAAGUCGAGCGGAAAGGCCUUUCGGGGUACUCGAGCGGCGAACGGGUGAGUAACACGUGAGUAAUCUGCCCAUCGCUUCAGGAUAGCCAUCGGAAACGGUGAUUAAUACUGGAUAUGACAUUCCUUCGCAUGUUGGGGUGUGGAAAGUUUUUUCGGCGGUGGAUGUGCUCGCGGCCUAUCAGCUUGUUGGUGGGGUAAUGGCCUACCAAGGCUUUGACGGGUAGCCGGCCUGAGAGGGUGACCGGCCACACUGGGACUGAGACACGGCCCAGACUCCUACGGGAGGCAGCAGUGGGGAAUAUUGGACAAUGGGCGAAGCCUGAUCCAGCAACGCCGCGUGAGGAUGACGGCCUUACGGGUUGUAAACCUCUUUCAGCACAGACGAAGUUUUGUCUUUUGGUGUAGUGACGUAUGUGCUAGAAGAAGGACCGGACAAC
RNAcentral lists this ribosomal RNA (469 nucleotides) under uncultured soil bacterium. Its description in RNAcentral is "bacterial SSU rRNA". It matches the Rfam family "Bacterial small subunit ribosomal RNA", at positions 26 to 501 of the family's 1533-position model. The record is from RNAcentral.